RNAcentral lists this ribosomal RNA (429 nucleotides) under Chloroflexota bacterium. Its description in RNAcentral is "Chloroflexi bacterium partial 16S ribosomal RNA". It matches the Rfam family "Bacterial small subunit ribosomal RNA", at positions 355 to 776 of the family's 1533-position model. The record is from RNAcentral. Lineage: Bacteria; Bacillati; Chloroflexota.
UGGGGAAUAUUGCACAAUGGGCGCAAGCCUGAUGCAGCCAUGCCGUGUGUAUGAAGAAGGCCUUCGGGUUGUAAAGUACUUUCAGCGGGGAGGAAGGGAGUAAAGUUAAUACCUUUGCUCAUUGACGUUACCCGCAGAAGCAGCACCGGCUAACUCCGUGCCAGCAGCCGCGGUAAUACGGAGGGUGCAAGCGUUAAUCGGAAUUACUGGGCGUAAAGCGCACGCAGGCGGUUUGUUAAGUCAGAUGUGAAAUCCCCGGGCUCAACCUGGGAACUGCAUCUGAUACUGGCAAGCUUGAGUCUCGUAGAGGGGGGUAGAAUUCCAGGUGUAGCGGUGAAAUGCGUAGAGAUCUGGAGGAAUACCGGUGGCGAAGGCGGCCCCCUGGACGAAGACUGACGCUCAGGUGCGAAAGCGUGGGGAGCAAACAGG